UGCAACUCGCCUGCAUGAAGUCGGAAUUGCUAGUAAUCGCGGAUCAGCAUGCCGCGGUGAAUACGUUCCCGGGCCUUGUACACACCGCCCGUCACACCAUGGGAGUCGGUAACACCCGAAGCCGAUAGUCUAACGAAAGAGGACGUCGUCGAAGGUGGGAUUGAUGACUGGGGUGAAGUCGUAACAAGGUAUC
This 193-nucleotide ribosomal RNA is filed under the name uncultured bacterium. Its description in RNAcentral is "partial 16S ribosomal RNA". It matches the Rfam family "Bacterial small subunit ribosomal RNA", at positions 1306 to 1500 of the family's 1533-position model. The record is from RNAcentral.